AGUAUAUAAUUCCUUACUGCUGUGGAAAGAAAUGAAGAAAGUGGUUAAAAUUUCAACAUCUUCAGAGCAACCAAGAAAAAAGUAAAAAGCUACGAAUAGUCCAGAAAAUAAACUCAAAAACUCAUCUAAGACUAAACUCAGUGCAAUUUGACCAUCACUUUUAAAUUGCCAAGACUGAGGAUGGACUUACUAGGAAGUGAAGAAAGCCUCCCGUGCAUGAUCCCUGGGGCGCCUGGGGAGCCAGGAGUGGAGGAGUAUUCCAGGAGGAAGACCAGCUCCCUUACAGGAUUGUGUUAGUAAAUGGAAUAAGGGCAAAGUGAGAAGGCAGCUACAAACCAGGAAGAAAACUCUCAUCAGAAACCACAUUGUCCAGCACCUUGAUCUUGGAUUCCCGUCUCUAGAAGUGUAAGAAAGAAAUUUCUGUUGUUUAAGGAACCCAAGGGUGUGGUAUUUUGUGACAGCAACUUAAGAAGACUAAGACAGCAUUCAAAAAGAUGAAAUACCCAGGAAUAAAUUUAA
Suricata suricatta (meerkat) is the source of this 519-nucleotide long non-coding RNA. RefSeq lists it as uncharacterized. The record is from RefSeq and is a predicted model, not a curated record. The transcript has 4 exons. Lineage: Eukaryota; Metazoa; Chordata; Mammalia; Carnivora; Herpestidae.